ACAGAGGGUGCGAACGUUGCUCGGAAUUACUGGGCGUAAAGCGCAUGUAGGCGGGUCGGCAAGUCAGAUGUGAAAUCCCCGGGCUCAACCCGGGAACUGCAUCUGGAACUGCUGGUCUUGAGUACUGGAGAGGGUGGCGGAAUUCCUGGUGUAGAGGUGAAAUUCGUAGAUAUCAGGAGGAACACCGGUGGCGAAGGCGGCCACCUGGACAGUAACUGACGCUGAGAUGCGAAAGCGUGGGGAGCAAACAGGA
RNAcentral lists this ribosomal RNA (253 nucleotides) under uncultured prokaryote. RNAcentral describes it as "partial 16S ribosomal RNA". It matches the Rfam family "Bacterial small subunit ribosomal RNA", at positions 525 to 777 of the family's 1533-position model. The record is from RNAcentral.